This 484-nucleotide ribosomal RNA is filed under the name uncultured bacterium. RNAcentral's name for it is "partial 16S ribosomal RNA". It matches the Rfam family "Bacterial small subunit ribosomal RNA", at positions 30 to 507 of the family's 1533-position model. The record is from RNAcentral.
AUUGAACGCUGGCGGCAGGCCUAACACAUGCAAGUCGAGCGGAUGAAGGGAGCUUGCUCCUGGAUUCAGCGGCGGACGGGUGAGUAAUGCCUAGGAAUCUGCCUGGUAGUGGGGGAUAACGUCCGGAAACGCGCGCUAAUACCGCAUACGUCCUGAGGGAGAAAGUGGGGGAUCUUCGGACCUCACGCUAUCAGAUGAGCCUAGGUCGGAUUAGCUAGUUGGUGGGGUAAAGGCCUACCAAGGCGACGAUCCGUAACUGGUCUGAGAGGAUGAUCAGUCACACUGGAACUGAGACACGGUCCAGACUCCUACGGGAGGCAGCGGUGGGGAAUAUUGGACAAUGGGCGAAAGCCUGAUCCAGCCAUGCCGCGUGUGUGAAGAAGGUCUUCGGAUUGUAAAGCACUUUAAGUUGGGAGGAAGGGCAGUAAGUUAAUACCUUGCUGUUUUGACGUUACCAACAGAAUAAGCACCGGCUAACUUCGUG